Molecule: long non-coding RNA, 135 nt
Organism: Alosa sapidissima (American shad)
Lineage: Eukaryota; Metazoa; Chordata; Actinopteri; Clupeiformes; Clupeidae
Exons: 3
Source: RefSeq, a predicted model, not a curated record
AACUGCAUUUUCUUUUACACUGAUAAGGCCAAAAAUGUUCUCUAUGACAUACCAGUGGUUCAUAAGCAUGAGCCUGACUGGCAGGGACAAAGUAAAGACGAAUAGGCUACAAAAUUUAGGAUACUAUCUUAAGAU